RNAcentral lists this ribosomal RNA (2905 nucleotides) under Klebsiella aerogenes. RNAcentral describes it as "23S ribosomal RNA". It matches the Rfam family "Bacterial large subunit ribosomal RNA". Lineage: Bacteria; Pseudomonadati; Pseudomonadota; Gammaproteobacteria; Enterobacterales; Enterobacteriaceae. The record is from RNAcentral.
GGUUAAGCGACUAAGCGUACACGGUGGAUGCCCUGGCAGUCAGAGGCGAUGAAGGACGUGCUAAUCUGCGAAAAGCGUCGGUAAGGUGAUAUGAACCGUUACAGCCGGCGAUGUCCGAAUGGGGAAACCCAGUGUGAUUCGUCACACUAUCGUUAACUGAAUACAUAGGUUAACGAGGCGAACCGGGGGAACUGAAACAUCUAAGUACCCCGAGGAAAAGAAAUCAACCGAGAUUCCCCCAGUAGCGGCGAGCGAACGGGGAGCAGCCCAGAGUCUGAAUCAGCUUGUGUGUUAGUGGAACGGUCUGGAAAGUCCGACGGUACAGGGUGAUAGUCCCGUACACCAAAAUGCACAGGUUGUGAACUCGAAGAGUAGGGCGGGACACGUGGUAUCCUGUCUGAAUAUGGGGGGACCAUCCUCCAAGGCUAAAUACUCCUGACUGACCGAUAGUGAACCAGUACCGUGAGGGAAAGGCGAAAAGAACCCCGGCGAGGGGAGUGAAAAAGAACCUGAAACCGUGUACGUACAAGCAGUGGGAGCACCUUCGGGUGUGACUGCGUACCUUUUGUAUAAUGGGUCAGCGACUUAUAUUCUGUAGCAAGGUUAACCGUAUAGGGGAGCCGCAGGGAAACCGAGUCUUAACUGGGCGUUAAGUUGCAGGGUAUAGACCCGAAACCCGGUGAUCUAGCCAUGGGCAGGUUGAAGGUUGGGUAACACUAACUGGAGGACCGAACCGACUAAUGUUGAAAAAUUAGCGGAUGACUUGUGGCUGGGGGUGAAAGGCCAAUCAAACCGGGAGAUAGCUGGUUCUCCCCGAAAGCUAUUUAGGUAGCGCCUCGUGAAUUCAUCUUCGGGGGUAGAGCACUGUUUCGGCUAGGGGGUCAUCCCGACUUACCAACCCGAUGCAAACUACGAAUACCGAAGAAUGUUAUCACGGGAGACACACGGCGGGUGCUAACGUCCGUCGUGAAGAGGGAAACAACCCAGACCGCCAGCUAAGGUCCCAAAGUCACAGUUAAGUGGGAAACGAUGUGGGAAGGCACAGACAGCCAGGAUGUUGGCUUAGAAGCAGCCAUCAUUUAAAGAAAGCGUAAUAGCUCACUGGUCGAGUCGGCCUGCGCGGAAGAUGUAACGGGGCUAAACUGUGCACCGAAGCUGCGGCAGCGACACUUAGGUGUUGUUGGGUAGGGGAGCGUUCUGUAAGCCUGCGAAGGUGGCCUGUGAGGGUUGCUGGAGGUAUCAGAAGUGCGAAUGCUGACAUAAGUAACGAUAAUGCGGGUGAAAAGCCCGCACGCCGGAAGACCAAGGGUUCCUGUCCAACGUUAAUCGGGGCAGGGUGAGUCGACCCCUAAGGCGAGGCCGAAAGGCGUAGUCGAUGGGAAACAGGUUAAUAUUCCUGUACUUGGUGUUACUGCGAAGGGGGGACGGAGAAGGCUAUGUUAGCCGGGCGACGGUUGUCCCGGUUUAAGCAUGUAGGCGGAGGUUCCAGGUAAAUCCGGUACCUUUUAACGCUGAGGUGUGAUGACGAGGCACUACGGUGCUGAAGUAACAAAUGCCCUGCUUCCAGGAAAAGCCUCUAAGCAUCAGGUAACAUUGAAUCGUACCCCAAACCGACACAGGUGGUCAGGUAGAGAAUACCAAGGCGCUUGAGAGAACUCGGGUGAAGGAACUAGGCAAAAUGGUGCCGUAACUUCGGGAGAAGGCACGCUGAUAUGUAGGUGAAGCCCCUGCGGGUGGAGCUGAAAUCAGUCGAAGAUACCAGCUGGCUGCAACUGUUUAUUAAAAACACAGCACUGUGCAAACACGAAAGUGGACGUAUACGGUGUGACGCCUGCCCGGUGCCGGAAGGUUAAUUGAUGGGGUUAUCCGUAAGGAGAAGCUCUUGAUCGAAGCCCCGGUAAACGGCGGCCGUAACUAUAACGGUCCUAAGGUAGCGAAAUUCCUUGUCGGGUAAGUUCCGACCUGCACGAAUGGCGUAAUGAUGGCCAGGCUGUCUCCACCCGAGACUCAGUGAAAUUGAACUCGCUGUGAAGAUGCAGUGUACCCGCGGCAAGACGGAAAGACCCCGUGAACCUUUACUAUAGCUUGACACUGAACAUUGAGCCUUGAUGUGUAGGAUAGGUGGGAGGCUUUGAAGCGUGGACGCCAGUCUGCGUGGAGCCAACCUUGAAAUACCACCCUUUAAUGUUUGAUGUUCUAACGUUGGCCCCUGACCGGGGUUGCGGACAGUGUCUGGUGGGUAGUUUGACUGGGGCGGUCUCCUCCCAAAGAGUAACGGAGGAGCACGAAGGUUAGCUAAUCCUGGUCGGACAUCAGGAGGUUAGUGCAAUGGCAUAAGCUAGCUUGACUGCGAGCGUGACGGCGCGAGCAGGUGCGAAAGCAGGUCAUAGUGAUCCGGUGGUUCUGAAUGGAAGGGCCAUCGCUCAACGGAUAAAAGGUACUCCGGGGAUAACAGGCUGAUACCGCCCAAGAGUUCAUAUCGACGGCGGUGUUUGGCACCUCGAUGUCGGCUCAUCACAUCCUGGGGCUGAAGUAGGUCCCAAGGGUAUGGCUGUUCGCCAUUUAAAGUGGUACGCGAGCUGGGUUUAGAACGUCGUGAGACAGUUCGGUCCCUAUCUGCCGUGGGCGCUGGAGAAUUGAGGGGGGCUGCUCCUAGUACGAGAGGACCGGAGUGGACGCAUCACUGGUGUUCGGGUUGUCAUGCCAAUGGCAUUGCCCGGUAGCUAAAUGCGGAAGAGAUAAGUGCUGAAAGCAUCUAAGCACGAAACUUGCCCCGAGAUGAGUUCUCCCUGAGACUUUAAGUCUCCUGAAGGAACGUUAAAGACGAUGACGUUGAUAGGUCGGGUGUGUAAGCGUAGCGAUACGUUGAGCUAACCGAUACUAAUGAACCGUGAGGCUUAACCUU